This 253-nucleotide ribosomal RNA is filed under the name uncultured bacterium. RNAcentral's name for it is "partial 16S ribosomal RNA". It matches the Rfam family "Bacterial small subunit ribosomal RNA", at positions 524 to 776 of the family's 1533-position model. The record is from RNAcentral.
UACGAAGGGGGCGAGCGUUGUUCGGAUUUACUGGGCGUAAAGGGCGCGCAGGCGGCUCAUUUUGUCAGGCGUGAAAGCCCCGGGCUUAACCUGGGAACUGCGUUUGAUACGGAUGGGCUAGAGUUCGGGAGAGGAGAGUGGAAUUCCCAGUGUAGAGGUGAAAUUCGUAGAUAUUGGGAAGAACACCGGUGGCGAAGGCGGCUCUCUGGACCGAUACUGACGCUGAGGCGCGAAAGCGUGGGGAUCAAACAGG